Molecule: long non-coding RNA, 592 nt
Organism: Vitis vinifera (wine grape)
Lineage: Eukaryota; Viridiplantae; Streptophyta; Magnoliopsida; Vitales; Vitaceae
Exons: 4
Source: RefSeq, a predicted model, not a curated record
AGGGCCACCCACUUCUGAAGUUGCCCUCCAGCCGAGAGAAUUCCCCUUUCCCCUUUUCUGAAGCUGCCCUCCAACCGCUGAAGCUGCCCUCCAGCCAAGAGAGUUCCUCUUCCUAAAAAGACCUAUCUUCCUCUACCACUCUCAAUCCUCGCAGGAGAACCCUAACGCCGCCUUGCAUAGCAGCAGCUCCAGAACCCUAACGCCGCCUUGCAUAGCAGCAGCUCUGCUUCCAAAAUGGAUCCGCAACCCGAACCUGUUAGCUACAUCUGUGGAGAUUGUGGGCAAGAAAACACCCUGAAGCCUGGCGAUGUGAUUCAAUGCCGUGAAUGUGGUUACCGCAUCUUGUACAAAAAGUGAACCCGUAGAAUUGUGCAGUAUGAAGCACGCUGAAGGCAAUGUGAAAGCUCAAGCAUAUAGAGUUGGUUGAUUCUGUAUCACUUGGUAGAAGGAUGUGCAUCUAUUUUGAUACUAAUGCUGGUCGUAUUAUUAUAAGGUUUCUGUUGGAUUGUCUCAAACAAUUACUUGUCAACAAUGAAAUGAACAGGCAUUGAUAGGUACAAUGAAAUGUACUUGAUAAAUUCUAUUGGCUUGA